This 283-nucleotide unclassified non-coding RNA is filed under the name Metschnikowia sp. CLIB 1737. RNAcentral describes it as "sequence contains ITS1, 5.8S rRNA gene and ITS2". The stretch from base 55 to 204 matches the Rfam family "5.8S ribosomal RNA". Rfam says of the family: 5.8S ribosomal RNA (5.8S rRNA) is a component of the large subunit of the eukaryotic ribosome. It is transcribed by RNA polymerase I as part of the 45S precursor that also contains 18S and 28S rRNA. The record is from RNAcentral. Lineage: Eukaryota; Fungi; Ascomycota; Pichiomycetes; Serinales; Metschnikowiaceae.
UGGCUGGCCCUAUAAAAUUCAAAUAAUUUUAUUUUUCUUCGAAAACAAAAUUAAAACUUUCAACAACGGAUCUCUUGGUUCUCGCAUCGAUGAAGAACGCAGCGAAUCGCGAUACGUGGUAUGACUUGCAGACGUGAAUCAUUGAAUCUUUGAACGCACAUUGCGCCUGGAGGCAUUCCUCCAGGCAUGCCUGUUUGAGCGUCGUUUUUCCUCCACCAGCAAUGGUUGGUUAUGCGGCCCUAAAAAUCACAAUUGACGAUUUACACUCUCGACCUCAAAUCAG